CCAUGGUGUGCACACCUGUAGUCCCAGCUACUUGGGAGGCUGAGGCAGGAGGAUCACUUGAGCCCAGAUCAGCCUGGGCAAUGUAGUGAGACCUCAUCUCAA
RNAcentral lists this small RNA (102 nucleotides) under Marmota monax (woodchuck). Lineage: Eukaryota; Metazoa; Chordata; Mammalia; Rodentia; Sciuridae. The record is from RNAcentral.